Molecule: non-coding RNA, 1084 nt
Organism: Pelobates cultripes (western spadefoot toad)
Lineage: Eukaryota; Metazoa; Chordata; Amphibia; Anura; Pelobatidae
Source: the annotation of a GenBank genome assembly
GGAUAAUAUGCAGUGUAUAUGUGACAACGGUUAUUGCUUCGUAUACUUAGUGGCCUACAGCUCUACAGGCCUGCGACCCAUAGGCCCGGAUCUCUCAUGCAGGCUCUCAUGAAAAUUUACGGCAUGUAACAUAUAUCAGGCUUUGUCAAGGUGCAACAUUACACUCUUAUAUGGGGUCAGUGUGUCUGGGAUAUGCAAUGGGUUUGUAAUGGUGACCUGUCAGUUUCUCUAUUGAUUAAGACAUCAUGUGUGUAUGUGGUUAAGAGAAAAUUGUCACGCUGUGUGAGGUCUGAGCCGGGAGGCCCGAGAUGUGAAUUAUGCGUUCUCUGUCGUGCGUGUGCGGGUUAAGAGCCCUUGACCAAGGGGGUUGCGGGGGCGGGGGGGGUGUUCGGUCCGCCAUGUAGUGUGGUCCCUACGUCAUCCGACCAGGCCGGCUAUUUCUUAAAUUAGUUUGUCCUAUUAGAGGGUAGCAAUAGGGCAGCAGCUAGAGAUAUAUGACAGAUAUUAACUAUGAACAUAGAAAUAAGAGUGAACUUAAAUAAUGUAUUAACACAUGUGUAGACAAGUGUUCAUUCAGGGCUGUCUGCGCCCUGUGUGUUCAUCGAUCGUGGGACGAACGGUGGUAUGGACGCAGGGUCCCUCAUUGCCGCCUGUGAUGCCGAGGUGGAGGGCACAUCAGCUUGCGAUAGUCCCAAAGUUUCCAGGAAGGUCGGUGCAUCCGUCAUGGAUGUCAGGGUGUGUGUCGUCCCGCCUUGGGUCGUAGUCAGGGAACCAUUCAGUCCCCAUCUGUAUUGUAGCCCCGCAGCUCGCAGUUGUGCUGUCACCGUGCUGUAUGAUUUGCGGUGUAGGAGAGUGGCCCUUGUUAAGUCCUGGAAAAAAGUGAGACUUGCGGUUUCAAAAGUGAAGGGGGUUUUGCCCUUCAUAGCUGACAUAAUCUGUAUCUUGUCCGGUAGUGAGGUGCAGCGGAGGAUGACAUCUCGUAUCGCUGUGGACUUAAAGUGAGAAGGGCUUGGGAGGCGAUAAACGCUGUCGAUAGCUACUCUCUUUGCCUUUGCAUGUGGCAGGAUUGCGGCCAGCAGUCUCC